UACGGGAGGCAGCGGUGGGGAAUAUUGCACAAUGGGCGCAAGCCUGAUGCAGCCAUGCCGCGUGUAUGAAGAAGGCCUUCGGGUUGUAAAGUACUUUCAGUCGUGAGGAAGGUGUUAAGGUUAAUAACCUUAGCAAUUGACGUUAGCGACAGAAGAAGCACCGGCUAACUCCGUGCCAGCAGCCGCGGUAAUACGGAGGGUGCGAGCGUUAAUCGGAAUUACUGGGCGUAAAGGGCACGCAGGCGGUUAAUUAAGUUGGAUGUGAAAUCCCCGGGCUUAACCUGGGAAUGGCAUUCAAGCUGGUUAGCUAGAGUCUUGUAGAGGGGGUAGAAUUCCAUGUGUAGCGGUGAAAUGCGUAGAGAUGUGGAGGAAUACCGGUGGCGAAGGCGGCCCCUGGACAAAGACUGACGCUCAUGUGCGAAAGCGUGGGGAGCAAACAGGGAUUAGAUACC
This 452-nucleotide ribosomal RNA is filed under the name uncultured bacterium. RNAcentral describes it as "bacterial SSU rRNA". It matches the Rfam family "Bacterial small subunit ribosomal RNA", at positions 340 to 786 of the family's 1533-position model. The record is from RNAcentral.